Molecule: ribosomal RNA, 222 nt
Filed under: uncultured Glomeromycotina
Lineage: Eukaryota; Fungi; Glomeromycota
Description: partial 18S ribosomal RNA
Rfam family: Eukaryotic small subunit ribosomal RNA (bases 32-222)
Source: RNAcentral
GGGUCAGUAGGUUGGUCGUGCCACCGGUACGUACUGGUCUCACUGAUUCCUCCUUCCUGAUGAGCUGUAAUGCCAUUAAUUUGGUGUUGCAGGGAAUCUGGACUUGUUACUUUGAAAAUUAGAGUGUUUAAAGCAGGCUAACGCUUGAAUACAUUAGCAUGGAAUAAUGAAAUAGGACGUUCGAUCCUAUUUUGUUGGUUUCUAGGAUUGACGUAAUGAUUA